GACAGUGAGAGAGGGAGACACAGAAUCCGAAGCAAGCCUCAGCGUUAAGUUUUAAGAGCUGCCACUCUGGGCUGUGACGUGAAGGGGGUUCCAUGGGGCUUCUAACCCAAACCCGGAUUGAUCUGCUCCCAUAAACCUUGACUCUGUGUCUCCCCUCCCUGCCUCGCUGCACCUGGUGACGUGGGCGUGCGGGGGUGCCACCUGGCUUUGGCUAGCUGCUUUCUCCACCUCUGAUCAACUUGGUGCCCUAGACCCUGGACAGUCAGGCCUGACUCACUUCCUGGGCCCCGUGAGGACUGGCCACAACCGCCGGAGGCCACAGUUCCAGCCUCUUCUUACAAUGGCCACCACCAUCUCUCCUGAAAGUGUCCUGCAGACUGAGACAGACAGUCAUCACUAACCAAG
Molecule: long non-coding RNA, 405 nt
Organism: Hyaena hyaena (striped hyena)
Lineage: Eukaryota; Metazoa; Chordata; Mammalia; Carnivora; Hyaenidae
Exons: 3
Source: RefSeq, a predicted model, not a curated record